UACAGAGGUCUCAACCGUUGUUCGGAUUCAUUGGGCGUAAAGGGUGCGUAGGCGGUCGCGCAAGUCGGAUGUGAAAUCUCAGGGCUCAACCCUGAAACUGCAUUCGAUACUGCGUGGCUAGAGUGCUGGAGAGGAGACUGGAAUUUACGGUGUAGCAGUGAAAUGCGCAGAUAUCAGGAGGAACACCGGUGGCGAAGGCGGGUCUCUGGGCCGAUACUGACGCUGAGGAGCGAAAGCGUGGGGAGCGAACAGG
This 253-nucleotide ribosomal RNA is filed under the name uncultured bacterium. Its description in RNAcentral is "partial 16S ribosomal RNA". It matches the Rfam family "Bacterial small subunit ribosomal RNA", at positions 524 to 776 of the family's 1533-position model. The record is from RNAcentral.